This 492-nucleotide ribosomal RNA is filed under the name uncultured bacterium. RNAcentral describes it as "partial 16S ribosomal RNA". It matches the Rfam family "Bacterial small subunit ribosomal RNA", at positions 29 to 507 of the family's 1533-position model. The record is from RNAcentral.
AGUGAACGCUGGCUGUAUGCCUAACACAUGCAAGUCGAACGUUAUUACAUUAAGACCUUUCUCUUACGGUUGGCGAUUGUCGGACGAGUGAGCUUUACAUCGCAAUUUGCUUUUUCGUGGUGUAUAACGUAUGGAAACCGACGCUAUUACCCCUUACGAUCUACCGGUGAAUUCAGGCUAAAUUCCGACCUUGGCUGAUAGAAUCAGUUUGUGUCGGAUUCGCUAGUUGGCGGGGUAAGUUCACAACAAGCCGACGAUACGUAGCGAGUUUGAGAGGAUGGUCAGGCACAAUGGAACUGAGACACGGUCAAGACUCCUACGGGAGGCAGCAGUGGGGAAUAUUGGACAAUGGGGGCAAGAAUGAUCCAGAAAUACUGCGUGGGUGAAGAAGGAAUUCGGGUUGUAAAAACAUUUUGUUGGGAAAGAAAAGAAGCAGGUUAAUAACCCGGUGAUCUGACGGUACCCAAAGAAUAAACACCGGCUAAAUUCGUG